AGUGAACGCUGGCGGUAGGCCUAACACAUGCAAGUCGAACGGCAGCACAGUAAGAGCUUGCUCUUACGGGUGGCGAGUGGCGGACGGGUGAGGAAUACAUCGGAAUCUACUUUUUCGUGGGGGAUAACGUAGGGAAACUUACGCUAAUACCGCAUACGACCUACGGGUGAAAGCAGGGGAUCUUCGGACCUUGCGCGAUUGAAUGAGCCGAUGUCGGAUUAGCUAGUUGGCGGGGUAAAGGCCCACCAAGGCGACGAUCCGUAGCUGGUCUGAGAGGAUGAUCAGCCACACUGGAACUGAGACACGGUCCAGACUCCUACGGGAGGCAGCAGUGGGGAAUAUUGGACAAAGGGCGCAAGCCUGAUCCAGCCAUACCGCGUGGGUGAAGAGGGCCUUCGGGUUGUAAAGCCCUUUUGUUGGGAAAGAAAAGCAGCAGGUUAAUACCCCGCUGUUCUGACGGUACCCAAAGAAUAAGCACCGGCUAACUUCGUG
Molecule: ribosomal RNA, 492 nt
Filed under: uncultured bacterium
Lineage: Bacteria
Description: partial 16S ribosomal RNA
Rfam family: Bacterial small subunit ribosomal RNA
Source: RNAcentral